UCUUGGCCUUAAAUUAAUGUAUAGCACAUUUACCAGAGUACUAUGAAUAAAAUAAAAUUUAAAACUCAAAGGGCUUGGCGGUGUUUUAGACCCUUCAGGGGAACCUGUCUCAUAAUCGAUAAUCCACGAUAGACCUGACCUUUUUUUGUUUUCAGCUUGUAUACCGUUGUCGUCAGGUAACUUUUUAGAAAUUAGAAGUUAGCUAUAAGCUCUGUAUACUAAAACGUCAAAUCAAGGUGCAGCCCAUAAGAAGGAGAGGAUGGGUUACAAUUAUAGAUUUAUAAUACGGAAAGCAUUAGGAAUUAAAUGCUUUGAAGGAGGACUUGAAAGUAAAAUAGAUUAUAUAAAUAUUUUGAAUAAGGCUCUGAAACGUGC
This 375-nucleotide ribosomal RNA is filed under the name Funa sp. 'incerta'. RNAcentral describes it as "partial small subunit ribosomal RNA". The record is from RNAcentral. Lineage: Eukaryota; Metazoa; Mollusca; Gastropoda; Neogastropoda; Pseudomelatomidae.